This 468-nucleotide ribosomal RNA is filed under the name uncultured bacterium. Its description in RNAcentral is "partial 16S ribosomal RNA". It matches the Rfam family "Bacterial small subunit ribosomal RNA", at positions 28 to 507 of the family's 1533-position model. The record is from RNAcentral.
GACGAACGCUGGCGGCGUGCUUAACACAUGCAAGUCGAACGGAAAGGCCCUGCUUUUGUGGGGUGCUCGAGUGGCGAACGGGUGAGUAACACGUGAGUAACCUGCCCUUGACUUUGGGAUAACUUCAGGAAACUGGGGCUAAUACCGGAUAGGAGCUCCUGCUGCAUGGUGGGGGUUGGAAAGUUUCGGCGGUUGGGGAUGGACUCGCGGCUUAUCAGCUUGUUGGUGGGGUAGUGGCUUACCAAGGCUUUGACGGGUAGCCGGCCUGAGAGGGUGACCGGCCACAUUGGGACUGAGAUACGGCCCAGACUCCUACGGGAGGCAGCAGUGGGGAAUAUUGCACAAUGGGCGGAAGCCCGAUGCAGCAACGCCGCGUGCGGGAUGACGGCCUUCGGGUUGUAAACCGCUUUCGCCUGUGACGAAGCGUGAGUGACGGAAAUGGGUAAAGAAGCACCGGCUAACUACGUG